Molecule: non-coding RNA, 94 nt
Organism: Curvularia clavata
Lineage: Eukaryota; Fungi; Ascomycota; Dothideomycetes; Pleosporales; Pleosporaceae
Source: the annotation of a GenBank genome assembly
GACAUUGUGGCCGAGUGGUCUAAGGCGGUAGAUUUAAGCUUUGCUGAGAUCUCUACUCCAGAAAUGGGCACGCGUUCGAACCGCGUCAAUGUCA